ACGUCAGAUUUCACUACCUGUGCAUAAAUGGAUCAGUAUGCUAGCACAAUUCGACAAUUCAAGACCUGCAGAAGCAACAAGGACUACAAACCAAGGUACACAGAGCAUGAUCCAUGUUCUCGAUGCUGUCCGCAAAUUUCACCACUUCUUCCCACCAUCCAGGAUCCUCCGCAUCAGCCUCCAUGCUGGAUUUACCGUUGAUGUUGCCAUUUUCAAUGUUCUUUUCCAUGACAUUGCCCUGAUAUUCUAUCUGGUCUGACUCCAUUAGCUCAGGAACCACAUCCCAAGGUACAGGACGCAAAGGAGAACGGUAACCUACUCCAAACAUUCAUGUAAUGACUAAGGAUAAUCUGCAAAUUGUUAACUGCUGCAACGAUGGCCC
RNAcentral lists this long non-coding RNA (382 nucleotides) under Sorghum bicolor (sorghum). RNAcentral describes it as "long non-coding RNA (SBIC_LNC003753)". The record is from RNAcentral. Lineage: Eukaryota; Viridiplantae; Streptophyta; Magnoliopsida; Poales; Poaceae.